RNAcentral lists this ribosomal RNA (566 nucleotides) under Brevundimonas sp. Air207. RNAcentral's name for it is "bacterial SSU rRNA". It matches the Rfam family "Bacterial small subunit ribosomal RNA", at positions 82 to 683 of the family's 1533-position model. Lineage: Bacteria; Pseudomonadati; Pseudomonadota; Alphaproteobacteria; Caulobacterales; Caulobacteraceae. The record is from RNAcentral.
CUCUUCGGAGUUAGUGGCGGACGGGUGAGUAACACGUGGGAACGUGCCUUUUGGUUCGGAAUAACUCAGGGAAACUUGUGCUAAUACCGAAUGUGCCCUUCGGGGGAAAGAUUUAUCGCCAUUAGAGCGGCCCGCGUCUGAUUAGCUAGUUGGUGAGGUAAAGGCUCACCAAGGCGACGAUCAGUAGCUGGUCUGAGAGGAUGAUCAGCCACAUUGGGACUGAGACACGGCCCAAACUCCUACGGGAGGCAGCAGUGGGGAAUCUUGCGCAAUGGGCGAAAGCCUGACGCAGCCAUGCCGCGUGAAUGAUGAAGGUCUUAGGAUUGUAAAAUUCUUUCACCGGGGACGAUAAUGACGGUACCCGGAGAAGAAGCCCCGGCUAACUUCGUGCCAGCAGCCGCGGUAAUACGAAGGGGGCUAGCGUUGCUCGGAAUUACUGGGCGUAAAGGGAGCGUAGGCGGACAUUUAAGUCAGGGGUGAAAUCCCGGGGCUCAACCUCGGAAUUGCCUUUGAUACUGGGUGUCUUGAGUAUGAGAGAGGUAUGUGGAACUCCGAGUGUAGAGGUG